Solea solea (common sole) is the source of this 600-nucleotide long non-coding RNA. RefSeq lists it as uncharacterized. NCBI's taxonomy places the organism in Eukaryota, Metazoa, Chordata, Actinopteri, Pleuronectiformes, Soleidae. The transcript has 3 exons. The record is from RefSeq and is a predicted model, not a curated record.
AGUCACUCGGUUUUUAAAUGCCACGCGCACUUUUAAAAAGAACGACAAUUUUGUGCGACAACGGUGAUUAAAAGGUCGUCAGUGAUUAUUACAGGCAGGAAACUUCCGGCUAAACAGGAACGGAAGACACAGAGUUACACAGGCAAGUGUUAGAAGAGUGUUUUCAUAGAAAAGGUGAAGAAUUUGUGAAGGAGACGCUUGUUGUUGUUGUUGUUGUUUAGCUAAUGGAAGCAGACAAAGUCAAAGUGGACCAAAGUGUCAAAGCAGCCAUUUUGUGCGUGGGAAUAAAGUCAAGUUAUUAUCAUCUACCUUCUGACAUCAGACCCUUGUCUUCAUCUCUGAAGAGAAGCAGUUGAAGCAGACAUCACAUUAAAGAGUGAGAGUUCAGCUAUUUAGAAGAUGUAACUCUGAGGCUUUGCGUUUCAUGAGCUGCGAAAGCCGAACAUGUUGCCUCUCCAUCUCCAUCCCCAUAGGGGUUGUCCUGGAGUCUGACGUCUGGAUUAGACAUGCUCUUCGAUUACUGCCCCAAGCUCCAGUCUCCCUGUGAUGACGACCUCUUUCUUGACCCCGCAUUUUAACCCGCUUCACUGUUGUCCUGCC